AUUGAACGCUGGCGGCAUGCUUUACACAUGCAAGUCGAACGGCAGCGCGGGCUUCGGCCUGGCGGCGAGUGGCGAACGGGUGAGUAAUACAUCGGAACGUGCCCAGUAGUGGGGGAUAGCUCGGCGAAAGCCGGAUUAAUACCGCAUACGACCUGAGGGUGAAAGCGGGGGAUCUUCGGACCUCGCGCUAUUGGAGCGGCCGAUGGCAGAUUAGCUAGUUGGUGGGGUAAAGGCCUACCAAGGCGACGAUCUGUAGCUGGUCUGAGAGGAUGACCAGCCACACUGGGACUGAGACACGGCCCAGACUCCUACGGGAGGCAGCAGUGGGGAAUUUUGGACAAUGGGCGAAAGCCUGAUCCAGCAAUGCCGCGUGUGUGAUGAAGGCCUUCGGGUUGUAAAGCACUUUUGGCGGGAACGAAAAGGACUGUGCCAAUACCACGGUUCGAUGACGGUACCCGCAGAAUAAGCACCGGCUAACUACGUG
This 484-nucleotide ribosomal RNA is filed under the name uncultured bacterium. RNAcentral's name for it is "partial 16S ribosomal RNA". It matches the Rfam family "Bacterial small subunit ribosomal RNA", at positions 29 to 507 of the family's 1533-position model. The record is from RNAcentral.